RNAcentral lists this ribosomal RNA (117 nucleotides) under Penicillium chrysogenum. RNAcentral describes it as "partial 28S ribosomal RNA". It matches the Rfam family "Eukaryotic large subunit ribosomal RNA", at positions 1 to 116 of the family's 3401-position model. Lineage: Eukaryota; Fungi; Ascomycota; Eurotiomycetes; Eurotiales; Aspergillaceae. The record is from RNAcentral.
UUGACCUCGGAUCAGGUAGGGAUACCCGCUGAACUUAAGCAUAUCAAUAAGCGGAGGAAAAGAAACCAACAGGGAUUGCCCCAGUAACGGCGAGUGAAGCGGCAAGAGCUCAAAUUU